UACGUAGGGGGCAAGCGUUGUCCGGAAUCAUUGGGCGUAAAGCGCGUGUAGGCGGUUACGUAAGUCUGCUGUGAAAGUCGGAGGCUCAACCUUCGAAAGCCGGUGGAUACUGCGUGACUAGAGUACGGAAGAGGAGAGUGGAAUUCCUGGUGUAGCGGUGGAAUGCGCAGAUAUCAGGAGGAACACCAAUAGCGAAGGCAGCUCGCUGGGACGUUACUGACACUGAGGCGCGAAAGCGUGGGGAGCGAACAGGAUAGAAACCCU
This 264-nucleotide ribosomal RNA is filed under the name uncultured bacterium. Its description in RNAcentral is "partial 16S ribosomal RNA". It matches the Rfam family "Bacterial small subunit ribosomal RNA", at positions 524 to 788 of the family's 1533-position model. The record is from RNAcentral.